Molecule: non-coding RNA, 21 nt
Filed under: Caenorhabditis elegans
Lineage: Eukaryota; Metazoa; Nematoda; Chromadorea; Rhabditida; Rhabditidae
Source: RNAcentral
UGGAUUUAUUCGAUUUUUUAU